RNAcentral lists this ribosomal RNA (276 nucleotides) under uncultured Prevotella sp. Its description in RNAcentral is "partial 16S ribosomal RNA". It matches the Rfam family "Bacterial small subunit ribosomal RNA", at positions 79 to 354 of the family's 1533-position model. Lineage: Bacteria; Pseudomonadati; Bacteroidota; Bacteroidia; Bacteroidales; Prevotellaceae. The record is from RNAcentral.
CUUUCCUUGACGACGACUGGCGCACGGGUGAGUAACGCGUAUCCAACUUCCCAUGACCACGGGAUAACCCGUUGAAAGACGGCCUAAUACCGUAUGACGUCGUUUGCCGACAUCGAAAGACGACCAAAGGUUUGGCGGUGAUGGAUGGGGAUGCGUCUGAUUAGCUUGUUGGCGGGGUAACGGCCCACCAAGGCUACGAUCAGUAGGGGUUCUGAGAGGAAGGUCCCCCACAUUGGAACUGAGACACGGUCCAAACUCCUACCGGAGGCAGCAGGU